AUGCAGAAAAGAAGGAUUAUGGGCUGCCCAGGGAGGUGGUGGAGUCACCAACCCUGGAGGUGUUGAAGGAACGUCUGGAUGUUGUGCUGAGGGAUUUGGUUUAGCGAGAACCAUUGGUGAUGGGUGGAUGGUUGGGCUGGAUGAUCCUGUAGGUCUUUUCCAACCUUGGUGAUUCUGUGAUAUGGGGUGAACCAUUGCAGCCUGCAGUACCUAAAGGGAGCCUACAGACAGGAGGGGGGUCAGCUCUUGGGAAGGGGAGAUGACAGCAGGACGAGGGGAGAUGGUCUGAAGUUGAGGGAGGGGAGAUUGAGGUUGGACAGCAGGGGGAAAUUCUUUAAGGGAGAGCAGUGAGGUGCUGGAACAGCUGCACAGAGAGGCUGCGGACGGGCAUCCAUCCCUGGAGGUGUUCAACAGGUUGGAUGGGGAUCUGAGCAGCCUGGAGGAGCAUUAGGUGGGGAGGUUGGUGGCCCUGCGUUGGCAGGGGGUUGGAGAUCCAUCACCCUUGAGGUUCCUUCCAACCCUGGCCGUUGAUUCUGCGAGGGACGCGGAUCCGUGAGAGCUGGUGGUGAAAUGGGGUGAAGGUGGGGUUUUGGGAUGGCGGAGCUCUGCUCCCACCUUGGGGUUCUGUGAUGAUGCUGCGAGGCUGUGAUGAUCCCCAUCAGAUCAGGAUGCGGUGGGGGGGUGGCAUGGGAGGCUGGGCUCCUGCCCAGCUGAUGGAAAGGCCACCGCUCGCCUUUCCCCCGUCCAGCACCCGGCAGCCAGGACUUCUCAAAUGGUUUGGGUCCAACGGAUCAUUUCCAGCACGAGUCCCCGGGUUUUACAUCUCUAAGCCCCACUUCCAUGAGUCCAAACCCCACUUUUGGGAUCAAAUCCCCAAGUUUUACAUCUCUAAGCCACACUUCCAUGAGUCCAAACCCCAAUUUUGGGAUCAAACCUUGAAUUUUACAUCUCUAAGCCCCACUUCCAUGAGUCCAAACCCCAUUUUUGGGGUCAAAUCUCC
This 1000-nucleotide long non-coding RNA is filed under the name Phasianus colchicus (ring-necked pheasant). RNAcentral describes it as "lncRNA (ENSPCLG00000022173.1)". The record is from RNAcentral. Lineage: Eukaryota; Metazoa; Chordata; Aves; Galliformes; Phasianidae.